UGGGGAAUAUUGGACAAUGGGGGAAACCCUGAUCCAGCAAUGCCGCGUGAGUGAUGAAGGCCUUAGGGUUGUAAAGCUCUUUUACCAGGGAUGAUAAUGACAGUACCUGGAGAAUAAGCUCCGGCUAACUCCGUGCCAGCAGCCGCGGUAAUACGGAGGGAGCUAGCGCUGUUCGGAAUUACUGGGCGUAAAGCGCGCGUAGGCGGCGGCUCAAGUCAGAGGUGAAAGCCCGGGGCUCAACCCCGGAACGGCCUUUGAAACUAGGUUGCUAGAAUCUUGGAGAGGUCAGUGGAAUUCCGAGUGUAGAGGUGAAAUUCGUAGAUAUUCGGAAGAACACCAGUGGCGAAGGCGACUGACUGGACAAGUAUUGACGCUGAGGUGCGAAAGCGUGGGGAGCAAAC
Molecule: ribosomal RNA, 401 nt
Filed under: uncultured bacterium
Lineage: Bacteria
Description: bacterial SSU rRNA
Rfam family: Bacterial small subunit ribosomal RNA
Source: RNAcentral